AACGCACCUUGCGCUCCUUGGUAUUCCGAGGAGCAUGCCUGUUUGAGUGUCAUGGAAUUCUCAACCUUUGAAAGCAUUUUCUUAACGGAUUGUUUUCAGGGGCUUGGACUUGGAGGUCGUGUCGGCUUGCAAAAGGGUCGACUCCUCUGAAACAUAUCAGCGCGAACCUUUUACGGACCGCCUUCGGUGUGAUAAACGUCUACGCCGUGGUCGUGAAGUAUGACAAUGUUCGUGCUUCCAAUCGUCUCUUCGCGAGACAGAACUUCUUUUGACAAUCUGACCUCAAAUCAGGUAGGACUACCCGCUGAACUUAA
This 314-nucleotide unclassified non-coding RNA is filed under the name uncultured Phlebia. RNAcentral describes it as "sequence contains ITS2". The stretch from base 1 to 52 matches the Rfam family "5.8S ribosomal RNA", at positions 103 to 154 of the family's 154-position model. The record is from RNAcentral. Lineage: Eukaryota; Fungi; Basidiomycota; Agaricomycetes; Corticiales; Corticiaceae.